This 775-nucleotide ribosomal RNA is filed under the name uncultured Neocallimastigales. RNAcentral's name for it is "partial large subunit ribosomal RNA". It matches the Rfam family "Eukaryotic large subunit ribosomal RNA", at positions 22 to 628 of the family's 3401-position model. The record is from RNAcentral. Lineage: Eukaryota; Fungi; Neocallimastigomycota; Neocallimastigomycetes; Neocallimastigales.
AUAUCAGUCAUGCAUAGCAUAUCAAUAAGCGGAGGAAAAGAAACUAACAAGGAUUCCCUUAGUAACGGCGAGUGAAGCGGGAAGAGCUCAAAUUUGAAAUCUUCAAGGUUUUACCUUGACGAAUUGUAGUUUAAAGAAGUGUUUUCUGUUGAAGUUUUGGUAAAAGUUCUUUGGAAUAGGACAUCAUAGAGGGUGAGAAUCCCGUAUUUGACCAUUACUUUCAGCUUUGUGAUACACUUUCAAAGAGUCGGAUUGUUUGGGAAUGCAGUCCAAAAUGGGUGGUAAAUUUCAUCUAAAGCUAAAUAUUGGCGAGAGACCGAUAGCGAACAAGUACCGUGAGGGAAAGAUGAAAAGAACUUUGAAAAGAGAGUUAAACAGUACGUGAAAUUGUCAAAAGGGAAGCGUUUGACACCAGUGUUGUUUUUCUCGAAAAUCAAUUAAAAAGAGUUGGAUUUUGUGUUGUAUUGACUUUAUCAGCUUUCUUCACUCUUUUCCAGCUUUUUUUAAUGCACUUUUCGUUUAACAAGUCAACAUCAGUUUCUUUUGUUGUAAAAAGGUCAUUGGAAGGUGGCUUUCUCUUCGGAGAAAGUGUUUAUAGCCUUUGACUCAUGCAAUCGGAGAGACUGAGGUCUGCAGCGUAGAUCCUUCGGGGUUAGAUACAUUUGUGCUAAGUUAUAGCUUUUCAUAGACAACUUGUUGACUAUGUUUAGUCUUGUAGCUUACUCGCUUAUGCUAUUUUACCUACGCUUAGGAUGUUGAACUCUAUCACACACAG